Long non-coding RNA from Acinonyx jubatus (cheetah), 4490 nucleotides. RefSeq lists it as uncharacterized. Lineage: Eukaryota; Metazoa; Chordata; Mammalia; Carnivora; Felidae. The transcript has 2 exons. The record is from RefSeq and is a predicted model, not a curated record.
GGAGGGGAGGGAUCAGCGAGGUUGUGGGGGAUCAUCCUGAGGCCUGAAGAAAGGGUCCAUGGAUGGGGGUGGCAGCGGUUUGGGAGCCCCUGGUUGUUCUGUCCAGGCAAUCAAAUGUUAAUUAAAGCUGGGUAGAGAGGAGGCUGCAAAAAUGGCCCGCAGUAGAAUGGGAGGUGGGAGUGGGAAAAGAUUUAGCCAUAAGGAGACCCUGCCGUGGCUACCAGGAGAAACUCAGGCCCAGCCAGGAGUGGGGUAAAAAGACCCAACUGAGCUAGCCAGGGGUACGGGGACGUGGCAGAGGAAAGGUCUGAAGAGCAGUCCUGGCCCCUGGAAAGGCGGUAAGAAAGGGCGAUUAAGUAAAUGUUCUGCCUCCUGGCUUUCAGACCUCAGCCUCAUCCUGGGUCCUGACAGAGAAAAAUCCGCCUCUGAUGGAAUCAUUAAGUUAACCAUCCAUUUGUACCAUUUCUUUGUACAGGCUUUCAAAUGAGAGAGAGUGAUAGAAUAUAGAGUGAGUACUUUCCCCCUGGUGCAGCCCCAAGCCUAGUCCCUAUCACAGACACAUCAGCCAAAUCGGUUUCCCAGGCCCCAGAGGCUGCUAACCUUGCGGAACAGGAUUUUUUGGAUUUCUAUCUGUAAGGAGUAUUAAAACACAGUAAUUACCUAUACUAGCUUCCCAUUUCUUCUCUCUCCCCCAUUCUGUACAAGCCAACCCACCCUUGAGUGAAGUGCAUCUUCUCAGUCAUAAGUCUUGGGAGCCUAGGCUCUCCAUCUGUUGAGGUUUGUUCAUUAGGGAGGGACAAGGGGAUGUGUGUGGGUGUAUGUUUGAAUAACAAAGAAGAAACCCAACAUUCUAAUGAAAAGUGUUCCUCUGCUUGACCUGGAGGAGGCAGAAGCUUGUUUACACUGUCAGUGUUCAAGGGACAGUCACAGGCCUGUUUGCUUUUAUCCUGAGGAUUAGUUGAAACUUUCUCUCCCAGUAAAGAACUGGUUAAUCCCAGUUACAGAUCCAGGAAGGUCCUCUUCAUCUGGGAGUUCUUGGUGUUACUUCGGUCCUUCUUUCAGAAACUGUAAGGGAAAAAAAGGGGGGGGGGGAUGAAGAGAAGUUUGUGAGUAUUAAAUAAAAAUAAAAAGAGGGGCAGGAGGCCCCAGUUCCCACAGGCCUACAGCCUCACCACUUUAGGGCACUGUGCCUUCCCAGAGAGGAUAUAGCUACCGGUGAGCAGACUUCUCCCUAGACACUUUGGACACAGUUGAGACUGAGUCACCAGCCAUACCCUCCACCAUCUCUGAGCACUGGCUCACUCUUGCAGAGGGCCCGGAUGGAGAGGAAAAACGACUGGGUAGGUGAAUCCUCUGUACUUACAGCAUUGUUGGUACUGGUGGUGGUGAAGAUCAUCACAGAGGGUGAAAUUUUAGUUUUCACUGUUCCCCUCUCUUCUGGUGCAGCUACACAUGCCCUUAUCCUUGGGGCCCAAAGUUGGUACCAAAUGGAUUUACACACCUGGCCCAAAGUCCACGCCUAAACACCUCCCUCAGGUCUCAUAACCACCUUGGCAAGUUGGAAUGGUACAAGGGGAAUUCAAGGACCCACUUUCAGGCCAGGGGCAGCCUGAAGCACAGUGAACAAGUUUGCUUCCACACAUGAAGAAGAGGAAAUGUAAAUGGAUGUCCAAUCAUUUGCAGUAGCAGAAGCAGGUGAAAGGUCCCUAGGAGAUUUGCAAGGUGGGCAAUAGUAGGUAAAUCCUCUUGUCUUAGAUCCUGUGGCAAAAUAUCUUGACUGGUUCCUAUGGCUAGUCUGGAUCAAUUUAUGGAAGAAUAAUAUCUGGAAAAUAAUGAAAAUGGGAUGUUUACAUCAGUAAGAGUCCAAGGAGGAGACUUUAAAUUAGGAUUCGUGGAGAACAGAUGAAGUGUUUUUACUGGGAAAGCAGGCCUAAAAUCAGGCCAAGAGGACCUGUUGGGCCACGGCCUUUCCGAAAGAGGGGAGAAGAGCCUAGCUGCCUUGGGAGGAGACCAGGGAGAAGGCCUUUUGAUGGCUCUAUUGUUCCAAGCGCUUGCCCUACAAAUACCACAUCCCUCCCCGUCUCUUCCGCAAGGGCAGAGCGGGAAACUGGGUCGGUCGGUUGGGCCGAACUCGAAGUAGCGACAGCGCUGGCACCAACCUCUCGGCCCCUUCUGCGGCCCCUUGGGGCGGCAACGGCGCGCCAUUCCCGUCGCAGGCCCAAAACACACAAAGGAAGCCCCCACCCGUCCUCAGAUGUGGGGACACUCUGGGGAGGAGGCUGGCGUGGACCCCGAGUCUGAGCACCUCCCUCCCCCGCGGGGAACAAUAGCCGCCGCCUCCCCGGGGCGGCCGGGCGGUCGCGCGGCACAAAGGCCGGCUCCGGGCCGCGCCACCAUGUGACGCGCGCGCUCGUUCCGCGCUCUCCGGCCUGCAGCCGGGCGCAGUCAGCAGAGAGCCGGAGCGGCCAGGCUGCCUCAAUCCACCUGGCACACUUUCCGAAAGACAAACGCGGUUCCUCCUACUUCAGAGCAAGUCUGGGCCAGCUGGGAGCCGACCAGAAACCGCAAGCAGAGGAGACACAGGCACCCGGGGUGAGCGCUCACGGAGGGCGCGACCCGCUGCCCCAAGCUCUGCGGCGCGAGGCCGGACACCCCCCCCCCCCCCCACUCCCGGUACUCCCGGCCGCCUGCCGGCCCCGCCUCCGGACCCCUUGCAGCCCACGGCUCUCCUAAGGGGCGGCCCCCGCGCCCUCCCCAGACGCACGGAGACUGUAUACCCUGCCCCCCCCCUGCUCCCCGCCCCCUGUCACACGCUUAGCGCAGCUGUACCCCUGGAAAGGGAAGAGGAAAAUCCCAGGUUUUGCAGACACUAUGUAAGAGUCUUAAAAAAAAAAAAAAAAAAGAUUCCCAGGGGACUAGAAUUCAGGGAUGGGGCGGAGCUAGUUUAGUUCUCUUAUUUACCUGCAGGAGUCAUUUAUUUGGAAGGAAGCAAGGGUAUCCCUGUUAAACUUGGAACUAAACCUGAAUGCCAUAUAAAAAAGAACAAUAAAAAUACACGUAAAAUGCCAACCAUAAUGAUAUGCCUCUCCUCUCUUUUCAAGUGUGAAGGAAGGACUGGAGUAUUUUUACUUCAGCUCUUUUGGGGUUCAUUUUAGAAAUACCAGAAAGGGAUAGACUGAAAACUGUGAGCGUUGGUGGAGGGAGAGAGAAGGAGGUCAUUAGCAUUAGAGCUGUUUGCAGCAGGAGGUCAUGGGUAAAGUGGGUGGUGAAGCGUUCUUAUGGUGGUGCUUGUAGUCCUCGGUAAGUUCUAAGAAAGUUUCAGGCUACCCCCUCUUUUACCCUCUUUUUGAGUGACAUCAGCUGAGAAAUUUCUGACGUUAGUUAAAAGUUGUUGCCUUAGCCUAUAGGAAAGAGCCCCUGAAAGACAAAAUCCCAGCUCCUCCCUCCCUGUCUUCUCUCUCAGCAUCCUCUCAGGUGGAAAUUAACUUGCUUUGGAGAGAUGUUCUACUAUCAUUUUACUUUCGAUAGAUAGAAGCUGUAGCAUUAAGUCUUGCACAGUGUCCUGAAUUCUUUAAGCAAUUAAAAUACUGGUCCUCUUGUCCUUGGGUCAGAGUCUCUCUCUCUCCUUGCCUUUCAGCAAUACCUGCUGAACAGCUCCUGUGUGCACUGUGCUGGGCUCUGAGAUCUAAAAAUGGGUCACGAAUAGUGUAUGCCUUUUGAUCUACUGGGGAAGAAAAAGAAUCCUAAAACUGUGACAGAUGCUAGAACAGAAGUAUGGCCUAAAGGUUCCUGGAAUAAAGAGAAGGAGCCACUGACACAAGUGUCGUGUCAGAAAAGGCUUCUCAGAGGAGGUGAAUUUUGAUUCCUGAAGUAUGAGCUUUUUAGGUCUAGGAAGGAGGGACAUACUCGGUGGAAAGAGCAGCACACGCAAGCAGGGAGGGAAGAAAGAACAAGGUCUAGACCUGGAACAAAGAGAGUUUGGAGUAGAGCAUCUGGCUGGCAAAAGAGGUUGUAUGAGGUCCGUGGAAAGGAGUCUGGAAUUAAUCUGCAGGCAGUGAAAGCCACUGAAGUUUUUAAACUGGGACAUGACGUUAUCUAUUUGGAAAGCUUGCUCUUUGGGAGGGAUGCUGUGUCUGACUGGAGGAGGGAUAGGAGGCAAGAAGGAAAGAAGAAGGGGAAGCUGCUGCAAUAAUCCAGCCUAGGGAGGAUCUAAGGUAACGAGGAUGAAGAGGGAAGACAUUUAGGAGGACAAAUUCACAGGACUUGCUGACAGUUGGACAAGUGAAAGAGGAGUUAUGGAUGUUAAUCCCUAGGCUUCUAUUUAGAGGCCCUGAUUGGGUAGCCAGGUCGUUCACCAAAAUGAAUACAGGAAGGGGAAAAAGAAGAUUUUGCAGGGGGAAACUAAGGACUUCUGUUUUAGGUCUACACUGUAUUUUCUGUUUUGCUGAUACAUUGUAUGACCCUCAACAAUACACUUAAUCUUUCUGGCC